Small nuclear RNA from Dromiciops gliroides (monito del monte), 105 nucleotides. NCBI's taxonomy places the organism in Eukaryota, Metazoa, Chordata, Mammalia, Microbiotheria, Microbiotheriidae. The record is from RefSeq and is a predicted model, not a curated record.
GCUCAUUUCUGUCACACACAUACUAGAAUUAGACCAAACCACAAAAGAUUAGCAGGGCUCCUGAAUAAGAAUGCCAGGCACUUUUAUGAAAAAUUCCAUAUUUUU